GGGAUAUUGGUCAAUGGUCGGAAGACUGAACCAGCCAUGCCGCGUGAGGGAAUGAGGCCCUACGGGUCGUGAACCUCUUUUAUUCGGGGACAAGGACUUCCACGAGAUGGGAGUUUGAGGGUACCGAAGGAAUAAGCGUCGGCUAACUCCGUGCCAGCAGCCGCGGUAAUACGGAGGACGCGAGCGUUAUCCGGAUUCAUUGGGUUUAAAGGGUGCGCAGGCGGCCUGUCAAGUCAGCGGUGAAAGCCCGGGGCCCAACCCCGGAAGUGCCGUUGAUACUAUCGGGCUGGAAUGCGGUCGAGGCGGGCGGAACGUGGCGUGUAGCGGUGAAAUGCGUAGAUAUGCCACAGAACGCCGAUAGCGGAGGCAGCUCGCCAGGCCUGCAUUGACGCUCGGGCACGAAAGCGUGGGGAUCGAACA
RNAcentral lists this ribosomal RNA (420 nucleotides) under uncultured bacterium. Its description in RNAcentral is "bacterial SSU rRNA". It matches the Rfam family "Bacterial small subunit ribosomal RNA", at positions 358 to 774 of the family's 1533-position model. The record is from RNAcentral.